This 247-nucleotide unclassified non-coding RNA is filed under the name Hevea brasiliensis (rubber tree). Lineage: Eukaryota; Viridiplantae; Streptophyta; Magnoliopsida; Malpighiales; Euphorbiaceae. The record is from RNAcentral.
AUUCAAUGCCAGAUAUACAUUAACCUGUUCCAAACAUCACUAAACAUAUAAUGUCUAUAUUCAAAUGAAAGGUUAAGGAAUUUCUGCUAAUAUUACUCCUCUGAACAAGAAUAUGCAAGUCUUAUAGUCAUAACCUGCACAUUUUCAAACUCAACAAUAAUCCAUUACGAGCUAACUAUUCCAAAAUAAGAUAUUUCACUUAUCAAUACAUACAAUGCAAUACCACUUGAAGUGCCAACAUCCUAAA